RNAcentral lists this ribosomal RNA (2294 nucleotides) under Escherichia coli. Its description in RNAcentral is "partial 23S ribosomal RNA". It matches the Rfam family "Bacterial large subunit ribosomal RNA", at positions 671 to 2925 of the family's 2925-position model. Lineage: Bacteria; Pseudomonadati; Pseudomonadota; Gammaproteobacteria; Enterobacterales; Enterobacteriaceae. The record is from RNAcentral.
GGGAAACCGAGUCUUAACCGGGCGUUAAGUUGCAGGGUAUAGACCCGAAACCCGGUGAUCUAGCCAUGGGCAGGUUGAAGGUUGGGUAACACUAACUGGAGGACCGAACCGACUAAUGUUGAAAAAUUAGCGGAUGACUUGUGGCUGGGGGUGAAAGGCCAAUCAAACCGGGAGAUAGCUGGUUCUCCCCGAAAGCUAUUUAGGUAGCGCCUCGUGAAUUCAUCUCCGGGGGUAGAGCACUGUUUCGGCAAGGGGGUCAUCCCGACUUACCAACCCGAUGCAAACUGCGAAUACCGGAGAAUGUUAUCACGGGAGACACACGGCGGGUGCUAACGUCCGUCGUGAAGAGGGAAACAACCCAGACCGCCAGCUAAGGUCCCAAAGUCAUGGUUAAGUGGGAAACGAUGUGGGAAGGCCCAGACAGCCAGGAUGUUGGCUUAGAAGCAGCCAUCAUUUAAAGAAAGCGUAAUAGCUCACUGGUCGAGUCGGCCUGCGCGGAAGAUGUAACGGGGCUAAACCAUGCACCGAAGCUGCGGCAGCGACACUGUGUGUUGUUGGGUAGGGGAGCGUUCUGUAAGCCUGUGAAGGUGUACUGUGAGGUAUGCUGGAGGUAUCAGAAGUGCGAAUGCUGACAUAAGUAACGAUAAAGCGGGUGAAAAGCCCGCUCGCCGGAAGACCAAGGGUUCCUGUCCAACGUUAAUCGGGGCAGGGUGAGUCGACCCCUAAGGCGAGGCCGAAAGGCGUAGUCGAUGGGAAACAGGUUAAUAUUCCUGUACUUGGUGUUACUGCGAAGGGGGGACGGAGAAGGCUAUGUUGGCCGGGCGACGGUUGUCCCGGUUUAAGCGUGUAGGCUGGUUUUCCAGGCAAAUCCGGAAAAUCAAGGCUGAGGCGUGAUGACGAGGCACUACGGUGCUGAAGCAACAAAUGCCCUGCUUCCAGGAAAAGCCUCUAAGCAUCAGGUAACAUCAAAUCGUACCCCAAACCGACACAGGUGGUCAGGUAGAGAAUACCAAGGCGCUUGAGAGAACUCGGGUGAAGGAACUAGGCAAAAUGGUGCCGUAACUUCGGGAGAAGGCACGCUGAUAUGUAGGUGAAGUCCCUCGCGGAUGGAGCUGAAAUCAGUCGAAGAUACCAGCUGGCUGCAACUGUUUAUUAAAAACACAGCACUGUGCAAACACGAAAGUGGACGUAUACGGUGUGACGCCUGCCCGGUGCCGGAAGGUUAAUUGAUGGGGUCAGCGCAAGCGAAGCUCUUGAUCGAAGCCCCGGUAAACGGCGGCCGUAACUAUAACGGUCCUAAGGUAGCGAAAUUCCUUGUCGGGUAAGUUCCGACCUGCACGAAUGGCGUAAUGAUGGCCAGGCUGUCUCCACCCGAGACUCAGUGAAAUUGAACUCGCUGUGAAGAUGCAGUGUACCCGCGGCAAGACGGAAAGACCCCGUGAACCUUUACUAUAGCUUGACACUGAACAUUGAGCCUUGAUGUGUAGGAUAGGUGGGAGGCUUUGAAGUGUGGACGCCAGUCUGCAUGGAGCCGACCUUGAAAUACCACCCUUUAAUGUUUGAUGUUCUAACGUGGACCCGUGAUCCGGGUUGCGGACAGUGUCUGGUGGGUAGUUUGACUGGGGCGGUCUCCUCCUAAAGAGUAACGGAGGAGCACGAAGGUUGGCUAAUCCUGGUCGGACAUCAGGAGGUUAGUGCAAUGGCAUAAGCCAGCUUGACUGCGAGCGUGACGGCGCGAGCAGGUGCGAAAGCAGGUCAUAGUGAUCCGGUGGUUCUGAAUGGAAGGGCCAUCGCUCAACGGAUAAAAGGUACUCCGGGGAUAACAGGCUGAUACCGCCCAAGAGUUCAUAUCGACGGCGGUGUUUGGCACCUCGAUGUCGGCUCAUCACAUCCUGGGGCUGAAGUAGGUCCCAAGGGUAUGGCUGUUCGCCAUUUAAAGUGGUACGCGAGCUGGGUUUAGAACGUCGUGAGACAGUUCGGUCCCUAUCUGCCGUGGGCGCUGGAGAACUGAGGGGGGCUGCUCCUAGUACGAGAGGACCGGAGUGGACGCAUCACUGGUGUUCGGGUUGUCAUGCCAAUGGCACUGCCCGGUAGCUAAAUGCGGAAGAGAUAAGUGCUGAAAGCAUCUAAGCACGAAACUUGCCCCGAGAUGAGUUCUCCCUGACCCUUUAAGGGUCCUGAAGGAACGUUGAAGACGACGACGUUGAUAGGCCGGGUGUGUAAGCGCAGCGAUGCGUUGAGCUAACCGGUACUAAUGAACCGUGAGGCUUAACCUUACAACGCCGAAGGUGUUU